UUUUUUAGGGAAAAUUUGGCCUUCCAGCAAAGGGAGGCCAGGAAAUUUUCUC
The sequence is a regulatory RNA element, 52 nucleotides long. It matches the Rfam family "HIV Ribosomal frameshift signal". Rfam says of the family: This family represents the HIV Ribosomal frameshift signal. HIV uses a system called -1 ribosomal frameshifting to produce the required ratio of Gag and Gag-Pol polyproteins. The stem-loop structure of the frameshift signal is thought to impede the ribosome and cause slippage in the 5' direction, this causes the -1 frameshift and translation then continues in the new frame. The record is from Rfam.